RNAcentral lists this long non-coding RNA (745 nucleotides) under Elaeis guineensis (African oil palm). Its description in RNAcentral is "long non-coding RNA (EGUI_LNC028041)". The record is from RNAcentral. Lineage: Eukaryota; Viridiplantae; Streptophyta; Magnoliopsida; Arecales; Arecaceae.
UUUCUUUAUGCAUUUCCCAUACAUGAGGUUAUACUUCUUUAAGUAUUUUUCAUUAAUCAUUCAGUCAUGCGUAGUCUCAUCUAUAUUUUUCAGCAGAUACACUCCAUCUUAUUGUACAUGAUAUAUCAUAAAAGAUCCUUCCCAAUUCGCGGACCACUUAUCAAAUUUUGAUUCUUUCUGGCCUAAUGGAAGAAUAGUUUUCCAUACUAACUCUCCUUUCUUAAAACAUUUUGGCCGAAUUCUUUUAUCAUAGGUUUGGGCUAUCUUUCCUUUUUGUGCCCUUAUUCAUUCUAAAGCAUUUAACCUCUUAUCAUCUAAAGUUACAAUUCGGCCAUCAUAGCUUGUGAAUACUUUUCUUUGGUCAACAAGUUCUGAUGUAACACACACUCUGACUUCAUAAUUAACUCCAUUGGAAGUACAUCAUCAUGACUGAAAGUCAAAGCUAUGGUGUUGUACCUAUAGAUAUUCUCUUGAAGUCCGAUAACUCCAAAGUACUUCUGACAAUACUUCAUGCCAUACCCUCAAUCUUUCUCCCACAAAUUUUUUUAUAUUAUUGAUUAAAAUUUUAUUUGCCACUUUGGCUUGUCCGUUUUCUUGUGCAUAAUAUGAGAUUGAAUGAAUUAUCUUGAAUCUAUGUUCUUCUGCAAAAUUCUUCAUAUCCAGAUCAGUAAAAAUAGAUCCUUGAUCCAUCGUGAUAGUUUCUGAUAGGUCAAAUCUAUGUAUGAUGUGAUAUCUGAUAAAAUUG